UCCGGUUUGGCACCGGCAGUCGGACUAGAGUCCCCGACAUUACUCGCUGGCAACUAGUCCCAAGGGUUGCGCUCGUUGCGGGACUUAACCCAACAUCUCACGACACGAGCUGACGACAGCCAUGCAGCACCUUGCACUCUGCCUGGUUUUACCCAGGAAUCCGUAUCUCUACGGCUGUCAGAGGCAUUCUAGCCCAGGUAAGGUUCUUCGCGUUGCGUCGAAUUAAACCACAUGCUCCACCGCUUGUGCAGGCCCCCGUCAAUUUCUUUGAGUUUUAACCUUGCGGCCGUACUCCCCAGGCGGAUAACUUAAUGCGUUAGCUGCGCCACCAAAAGCCUAAGGCCCCUGACAGCUAGUUAUCAUCGUUUACGGCGUGGACUAC
Molecule: unclassified non-coding RNA, 382 nt
Filed under: uncultured bacterium
Lineage: Bacteria
Description: contains 16S-23S intergenic spacer region
Source: RNAcentral